RNAcentral lists this ribosomal RNA (909 nucleotides) under uncultured bacterium. Its description in RNAcentral is "bacterial SSU rRNA". It matches the Rfam family "Bacterial small subunit ribosomal RNA", at positions 8 to 916 of the family's 1533-position model. The record is from RNAcentral.
AGAGUUUGAUCAUGGCUCAGGACGAACGCUGGCGGCGUGCCUAACACAUGCAAGUCGAGCGAGAAGCUUACAAGCAAGCCUUCGGGCGAGCGAGUAAGCGGAAAGCGGCGGACGGGUGAGUAACGCGUGAGCAAUCUGCCUUAAGGAGGGGGAUAACACAGAGAAAUCUGUGCUAAUACCGCAUAACAUAUAUAUUUCGCAUGGGAUAUAUAUCAAAGCUCCGGCGCCUUAAGAUGAGCUCGCGUCCGAUUAGUUAGUUGGUAGGGUAACGGCCUACCAAGACCGCGAUCGGUAGCCGGACUGAGAGGUUGAACGGCCACAUUGGAACUGAGACACGGUCCAGACUCCUACGGGAGGCAGCAGUGGGGGAUAUUGCGCAAUGGGGGCAACCCUGACGCAGCAACGCCGCGUGAAGGAAGAAGGUCUUCGGAUUGUAAACUUUUGUCUUUUGGGAAGAAAAAUGACGGUACCAAAGGAGGAAGCCACGGCUAACUACGUGCCAGCAGCCGCGGUAAUACGUAGGUGGCAAGCGUUGUCCGGAAUUACUGGGUGUAAAGGGCGUGUAGGCGGGUAGUCAAGUCAGAUGUGAAAUACCGAGGCUCAACCUCGGGGCUGCAUUUGAAACUGAUUAUCUUGAGUGCAGGAGAGGAAAGCGGAAUUCCUAGUGUAGCGGUGAAAUGCGUAGAUAUUAGGAGGAACACCAGUGGCGAAGGCGGCUUUCUGGACUGUAACUGACGCUGAGGCGCGAAAGCGUGGGGAGCAAACAGGAUUAGAUACCCUGGUAGUCCACGCUGUAAACGAUGGAUACUAGGUGUAGGGGGUAUCGACUCCCUCUGUGCCGCAGUUAACACAAUAAGUAUCCCACCUGGGGAGUACGGCCGCAAGGUUGAAACUUAAAGGAAUUGACGG